This 44-nucleotide ribosomal RNA is filed under the name Jaagichlorella hainangensis. RNAcentral's name for it is "partial 28S ribosomal RNA". RNAcentral also lists the same sequence under 1 other name. Lineage: Eukaryota; Viridiplantae; Chlorophyta; Trebouxiophyceae; Watanabeales; Watanabeaceae. The record is from RNAcentral.
UCGACCUGAGUUCAGACGAGACCACCCGCUCAACUUAAGCAUAU